Molecule: ribosomal RNA, 254 nt
Filed under: uncultured bacterium
Lineage: Bacteria
Description: partial 16S ribosomal RNA
Rfam family: Bacterial small subunit ribosomal RNA
Source: RNAcentral
CACGUAGGGGGCGAGCGUUGUCCGGAUUUAUUGGGCGUAAAGAGCUCGUAGGCGGCUCGGUAAGUCAGGUGUGAAAACUCUAGGCUCAACCUAGAGACGCCACCUGAUACUGCUGUGGCUAGAGUCCGGUAGGGGAGCAUGGAAUUCCUGGUGUAGCGGUGAAAUGCGCAGAUAUCAGGAGGAACACCAGUGGCGAAGGCGGUGCUCUGGGCCGGAACUGACGCUGAGACGCGAAAGCGUGGGGAGCAAACAGG